UUCGAUUAAAUUAAAAAUUAUUAAAAUCGGUACACCCAGUAAAAAGUUAUAGCGGAUUUUCAAGAGUUUCCCUCGAUUUCUCUAGGAUCCCAUCAUCAGAUCCUGGUUUCCUUAUCAUGGUAUCAAACUACAGAUAUCCCCUUUCCAACAAAAAAAGAAUUAUCAAAAUCGGUACAUCCAGUAGAAAGUUAUUGCGGAUUUUCGAGAGUUUCCCUCGAUUUCUCUGGGAUCCCAUCAUCAGAUCCUAGUUUCGUUAUCAUGGUACCAAACUAGGGAUAUCCUCUUUCCAACAAAAAAAGAAUUAUCAAAAUCGGUACAUCCAGUAGAAAGUUAUGCGGUAUAAUACAACGUAGGUCGACGAAAAACGCGUCAAGUAAAAACGCAUUAUU
This 389-nucleotide unclassified non-coding RNA is filed under the name Melitaea cinxia (Glanville fritillary). RNAcentral describes it as "misc RNA ENSMCXG00005016594.1". Lineage: Eukaryota; Metazoa; Arthropoda; Insecta; Lepidoptera; Nymphalidae. The record is from RNAcentral.